Molecule: transfer RNA, 69 nt
Filed under: Heptranchias perlo (sharpnose sevengill shark)
Lineage: Eukaryota; Metazoa; Chordata; Chondrichthyes; Hexanchiformes; Hexanchidae
Description: tRNA-Trp
Rfam family: tRNA
About the family: Transfer RNA (tRNA) molecules are approximately 80 nucleotides in length. Their secondary structure includes four short double-helical elements and three loops (D, anti-codon, and T loops). Further hydrogen bonds mediate the characteristic L-shaped molecular structure. tRNAs have two regions of fundamental functional importance: the anti-codon, which is responsible for specific mRNA codon recognition, and the 3' end, to which the tRNAs corresponding amino acid is attached (by aminoacyl-tRNA synthetases). tRNAs cope with the degeneracy of the genetic code in two manners: having more than one tRNA (with a specific anti-codon) for a particular amino acid; and 'wobble' base-pairing, i.e. permitting non-standard base-pairing at the 3rd anti-codon position.
Source: RNAcentral
AGAGAUUUAGGUUAAAUAAACCAAAAGCCUUCAAAGCUUUAAAUAGAAGUGAAAACCAUCUAAUUUCUG